UGCUGUGAGGAGCAGGCUGGUUGUGUCUCGACAUGUGACAAGCUUCUGCUUUCUGCCUUGCUGACUAACUUUCAGUAGCUGUUGCAACUGUCCAGACUGUUUUCUGGAAAGGCUGUGCAAUUUUUGAGACACUUUGUUGCCUGUUAGCUUUAUCUUAGCUGUCGUUAUUUUUUCAAUUAGUGACUUCUUCAGGAAUUCACUGGAAUUAAGUGACUGCAGAAAUCAAAUAGCUGCGCUCAAACCCACUGCUGUGAACUGGAAUAUUUUUCUCAAGCUACUGGUAUUGUCUACUCUCUUGGUUUGAGAAGGAUUCAUUAUGCUGGAAGUAUUUUGAUGUAAUUAUUAAAUGCUAGAAGAAUAUUCAUGAAAUUUCUGUUCUGGCCCCAAAUUUUGCAACCCGGAAUUUUCAAGGUUCGCUGAGGCUGGGUCAUUUAUUCUUUAUAGGUCUCCAAGGAUCUCAGAGACCAUUACCUCACAAAUUCUCCAGUUAUCAACUCCCUUAAGGAGAAUCUUGGCAAAUACAAGAAAAUUAUGUUCUAAAAAGAGUUCUUUGUAAGGAAAGCACAGCCAUGGAGGGAAUCAGGAAGGAAAGAGGGGGCUGCUCACCAAGCCAAGCACAGAUGACAAGGCUUCCCAGAGCAUCAGCGUUGCUGUGAAGAGGGAACUCUUCAGGUGCCAGAAUGUUUCGGAAUUUUCCUGCGGCUUCACCAUGGGAACUGCCAUUUCACCAGGAAUGAAUUUGACCCGCUGAGCAAUAAAGCUGAGGCAAAACACUUACACUCCAGCCAGGAUGGGGGAAUUGCUUGUUUUUCUGUUGGCAUGUUCUCCUCUGGCAGUUUUUUUUUCACCAAGGAGCGUUCCUUGUUCAUUCAACCUUCCUCUAACUUCACCUUGAGAAAGCAACAGGGCUUUGAAAGUGUCGUUUUCCCAGCAACAGCUGCUGCUUUUAGCAUCCAACAGUCUUUAAAUCCAUAGAAAGCUAGUUUAUAUGGACAGGGAAGCAUUAAAUGCUAGGAAAUGAGGGUCUUUAGGUAACUAUUCCAGAUCUGCUAUAUCUGCAGUUACAACAAUUGGUGGUGUAGGUGGUGUUCUUUUACUGGCUUUUAAUGAGACACAUUUAUUACUGCCUUGCGAUAAACCAAAGUAAAGCCAUAAAAGUGACUUUCAUUGAACAUUUGUUUGAGUUCUGCCUGGGUCUUAUAAAGCUUCAUUUGUUCAAGACUUCAGUUUUUGUUUUACAUGCCUGCCACCUUUUUGGUAACAGCUGUUAUCUCCUUCCAUAGCUGAAUACAAUAGGCUUCCCUUCCACGACACAACAGGAACUUGUUUCAUGACUGGUGUGAGACAGAGUUGGGAUUUGAUCCUUCAUAAUCUGCUAAAUCAGCAGAGUAUCCCAACCACUCCAUACAACCAGGCAGAAUGUGGGCUUGAAACUGCUCAUGUUCGUUUGUUAAAAUUUCACAACAGUCGAAAACAGUCACUGUGCAGGUUGGUAACAGAACUGAAAUUUUAGAACAGCAUCUAAUCCAGCAGUCUUUGUUCAGAGCACUGAAGACCCAUUGACUUGAGAGAUCCUUGAUAGACCCAAACCUCCAGCCACAGCAGGGUGAUAAAAAUAAAUGUUUUUUUUAGGUCCAGCAGUGAAUUUAAAGCUUAUGCAUUUUCUUCAUCUGCUGGACUAGUUCACAUUUCACUACAUAUAAGUUCCAAUAUUGCAGCUAAACUCUCUGGAAAUAUUCUGCAAGAAAUGUUCUUAACAAUUCACCUCCGUAAGUUAAUACCUAUUAAAACCUAAAAAUGAAUUAGAUUUGGAAUUUCCUGGAUUCUUGUGUUUGUCAUGCAAAUUUUCAGUGCUGUUCUUUUUAUGAUAAUAUGAAAUAAAGUAGUUUCUUAUAGUAACAUUGUAAAUCAUUUGCUUUCUAUUACACGCAGCUGGUUUUGUUACAGUAAUGAUUUUGUAUGGGUGCACACUGCAGUGCGUAUUAAAGGCAAUGAAAUAUUCUUUUUUCAGGGCUCACAUGCAAUUGAUGUUUGUGCAAAUAUAACCAGAUAAUGACAAAACAGUAAUUUAUUAUAAUAUAUUAACGAGGUUGUUUUUUCUCUCUUCUCCCAAAAUGCACCUUCUUCCAAACUGCCCUUCCCCCUGCAGCAAAUCCUUUUUUUUUUUCUUGUUUACAAAAAUGACUCCCCACCCUUGCAGAUGCAGAUUAGAGUUUUUCAGCUCACUAGAGAUCCAGAAUCAAAAUCUAAACCAGCUGGUGCUUUUACGCGGGUGUCUUACUUUAGCUUACUCAAAAGAACACAAGAUGAACGGAGGAAGAACCAGAGAUGCUUGUUUCAGCGUUCAAUUGUUCCAGAAAGAUAAGAAAAAUCUCCAUCUGAAUUUCUUCACCUCUACUUGGACAUGGUUCUGUCUGGUGCUCCUUCCAUCACCCUCUCCAUUCCCUCUGACAGAAGACCUGCUUUCAUCCGGCUCCUUUUACCUUUGUGUCUAGAACAGACAGUGCUACCCUUUCCCUCUGGUUGCAGUUGCUGCAGCAACCUGGCCAUGAAAGCUACGCACCUCCUGCAUUUUUACUGAGGUGGUUUUUUGCUGGGUUUUGGCUCAGUACAGACUUCUCAAGCCAAGAGCCAUCCUAUUUUGCAGAAUGUGACAAACAACGCUGCAGUUUCCACUGGGAGUCGCUGGAAACAUCAUCUGCCCCUGCAGCCCAGUCUCCAAGAACCAGCCUGAAAGCUGCAGCUGGAGGUUGGCAUCCUUUCUUCCCCAGCUGUAGCUCUCAGAGGUCACUGAUAUAAUUUUAGUACUUGAAAUGGUGCCUUGCAAGGGUUACAAGAAUAUUCAGUCCUGGACAUAACAGGGAGUGACCUCAGCUGCAAAAUUCAAGUGGGGAUGCAGAGCCACAGACUGGAAGAGGAAUAUCCAGAGUAGGGCUUUGGUUCACACCCAUUCCCAAUGCACAACAUUUGUAUGAAGGAAGACUCUUCAAAGCUCUUUGAAAUGUGUCUGAAUGCAUGAAGAGAUUCCAAUGGUUUAAACAUGUUUGAAAAUCCCAGAUGCAAAGCAAUUGUGGUUCAUUACACCUAUCACUUCCCCACUUCCUCAUUUUUUCUGUCUGCUUUAAAUGAAGAAGCGUCUGAGAUCCAUAAAUUUAUUUCUUUAUCCUCAUUUGAACACUGCCAUAGAUGCCAUUAAAAUAUCCAUACACUGGAAAUCUCAAGAAACAUAUCUGUAUAAUAUGUUUAAUAAUUUGUCAUGUUGCAAUAGUAGAUAGAGGCAGAAAAGCCUGAAAAUCAUUUUUUAGAAGCUUGUUGUUAUAAUGAAGAACCUUACCUGUGGUGAAGUAGUAGUGCAGUUUUUUCUCUCAUUUGCACAAAUAUGCCAGCUAAAUAUAUAAGUUAAAUAAAUGUUGGCUUGAACCAGCA
This is a long non-coding RNA of Corvus hawaiiensis (hawaiian crow), 3426 nucleotides long. RefSeq lists it as uncharacterized. The record is from RefSeq and is a predicted model, not a curated record. The transcript is spliced from 6 exons. Lineage: Eukaryota; Metazoa; Chordata; Aves; Passeriformes; Corvidae.